UACGUAGGUGACAAGCGUUGUCCGGAUUUACUGGGCGUAAAGAGCGCGCAGGCGGUCGAUCAAGUCGAGUGUGAAAUCCCCGGGCUCAACCUGGGACCUGCAUUUGUGACUGCAUCGCUGGAGUGCGGCAGAGGGGGAUGGAAUUCCGCGUGUAGCAGUGAAAUGCGUAGAUAUGCGGAGGAACACCGAUGGCGAAGGCAAUCCCCUGGGCCUGCACUGACGCUCAUGCACGAAAGCGUGGGGAGCAAACAGG
This 253-nucleotide ribosomal RNA is filed under the name uncultured bacterium. RNAcentral describes it as "partial 16S ribosomal RNA". It matches the Rfam family "Bacterial small subunit ribosomal RNA", at positions 524 to 776 of the family's 1533-position model. The record is from RNAcentral.